GCAGUUGUUGGCUCAGUGGUAGAGUGCAUGCUUUGUGUGUAAUGUCCUGGGUUCAAUCCCCAGCUUGGCA
This is a non-coding RNA of Dallia pectoralis (Alaska blackfish), 70 nucleotides long. The record is from the annotation of a GenBank genome assembly. Lineage: Eukaryota; Metazoa; Chordata; Actinopteri; Esociformes; Umbridae.